This 274-nucleotide ribosomal RNA is filed under the name uncultured bacterium. RNAcentral describes it as "partial 16S ribosomal RNA". It matches the Rfam family "Bacterial small subunit ribosomal RNA", at positions 523 to 796 of the family's 1533-position model. The record is from RNAcentral.
AUACGGAGGGGGCUAGCGUUGUUCGGAAUUACUGGGCGUAAAGCGCACGUAGGCGGCGCACGCAGUCAGAGGUGAAAGGCCUGGGCUCAACCCAGGAACUGCCUUUGAUACUGGUGUGCUAGAGUCCGGGAGAGGGUAGCGGAAUUCCCAGUGUAGAGGUGAAAUUCGUAGAUAUUGGGAAGAACACCGGUUGCGAAGGCGGCUACCUGGAACGGUACUGACGCUGAGGUGCGAAAGCGUGGGGAGCAAACAGGAUUAGAAACCCCAGAAGUCC